Molecule: ribosomal RNA, 484 nt
Filed under: uncultured bacterium
Lineage: Bacteria
Description: partial 16S ribosomal RNA
Rfam family: Bacterial small subunit ribosomal RNA
Source: RNAcentral
GAUGAACGCUGGCGGCGUGCUUAACACAUGCAAGUCGAACGAGAACGGGCUAUAGCUUGCUAUAGUUGUCAGCUAAGUGGCGCACGGGUGAGUAAUGUAUAGGUAAUAUGCCUCUUACUAAGGGAUAACAAAUGGAAACGUUUGCUAAUACCUUGUACUCCUUAUUAACAGAAGUUAAUAAGGGAAAGACUUAUUGGUAAGAGAUUAGCCUGUAUUGUAUCAGUUAGUUGGUGGGGUAAUGGCUUACCAAGACUAUGACACAUAACUGGUUUGAGAGGAUGAUCAGUCACACUGGAACUGAGACACGGUCCAGACUCCUACGGGAGGCAGCAGUGGGGAAUAUUGCACAAUGGACGAAAGUCUGAUGCAGCAACGCCGCGUGGAGGAUGACACAUUUCGGUGCGUAAACUCCUUUUAUAUGAGAAGAUAAUGACGGUAUUAUAUGAAUAAGCACCGGCUAACUCCGUGCCAGCAGCCGCUGUAA